This 254-nucleotide ribosomal RNA is filed under the name uncultured bacterium. Its description in RNAcentral is "partial 16S ribosomal RNA". It matches the Rfam family "Bacterial small subunit ribosomal RNA", at positions 524 to 776 of the family's 1533-position model. The record is from RNAcentral.
UACGGAGGGUGCAAGCGUUAUCCGGAAUCACUGGGUUUAAAGGGUGCGUAGGCGGUUUUUUAAGUCAGUUGUGAAAUUCCCUCGCUUAACGAGUGGGACUGCGAUUGAUACUGAAGAACUUGAAUCAGGUUGAGGUAGGCGGAAUGUGACAUGUAGCGGUGAAAUGCAUAGAUAUGUCAUAGAACACCGAUUGCGAAGGCAGCUUGCUGGACCUGUAUUGACGCUGAGGCACGAAAGCGUGGGGAGCAAACAGG